This 185-nucleotide ribosomal RNA is filed under the name uncultured bacterium. RNAcentral describes it as "partial 16S ribosomal RNA". It matches the Rfam family "Bacterial small subunit ribosomal RNA", at positions 1316 to 1500 of the family's 1533-position model. The record is from RNAcentral.
CUACAUGAAGCUGGAAUCGCUAGUAAUCGCGGAUCAGAAUGCCGCGGUGAAUACGUUCCCGGGUCUUGUACACACCGCCCGUCACACCAUGGGAGUCGGAAAUGCCCGAAGUCGGUGACCUAACUGAAAGGAAGGAGCCGCCGAAGGCAGGUCUGGUGACUGGGGUGAAGUCGUAACAAGGUAUC